UAUGAACUAUAUUUUAACCUAUCUAUCUUUGUUUUAACUUCGAGAAAGUAAUUAUCAGCUGAAUUUCAAGUAUCAAAUGUAAUUAUGUAUUUUUGUAUUGAGUGAUAUUUCAGAUGAGUGCGUGUAUUGUAGUGUUUCAGAAUUGAGAAUACAAAUCAGUGCGUGUACCACACAAUUGAAAAUAUUUGCAGGACAAUAACCAUUGAAAAUUGAACGUUUUUGGGAAUGGUCAAAGAGCCAAAAACUGAAUAUCGACAGACUUGAUUGUCAACGGUGGAAACAUCGACAGAUAUAAGAUGGUUGCAAAUACUAGUUGAUAUUAAAUGGAUAGUUUUUCCAGCAGUUAUUUACAAUCUGAAAUUUCACACACUCAUCGUAUACCAAAGUUAUGAAAAGCAUUUGCUUAGAAUCGUAUAAAAAAUACAAAUAACCGCAAGCAUCCGGUCAUAUAUUAUGAAAUAAACGUAUGCUCAAGUAGGUAUACACGAUACCAAUUCAUCUACAUGUUGAGUGUUGACCGUGAUGCAUUGUUGGAUCUUCGACGGUAAUAUUAUAAUGUACCUGUAUUGUGUAUGCACAUACCUUGGACUCAGGAAGGUGAGAUCAAAUCGAUGGAAACGAAUAGUAGACAGGAAUGAAAAUGCAGUGGACGAAAUUAUAGAUGUGUGCGGAAACAAAUGGGCUAUAGACGUUUUAGUAAAUCACAACUUCAUAGUUCAUGGGAUUUGUGGCUAUCGUGCGCGAAUGAUGGAUGGAAUCAAUUGGCCGUAAAAAAAUUAAAUUUCUACACAGCUCCUGUACUAAAUAUAACUAUAUAUAAGUAACUAUUAGGAUUCUGUGUACUGUUUUUUUCCGCCGAAUUCUUGACGUCAAUCCAACCAUAAUUGAAGCUUCUUUUGCCGUGAUGCAAACGGAAAAUGCACAAUGGACUAAAAAAAAACUAUAUAGUGCUUGUUAUAACAAAAGUAGUCAGUUGUACUUAACAAUUUUAUCAUGACUUGGUGAGAGAAAAUUCAAAAUCUGUAACUUAUACAAACCAAUAAUGUAUUCAUAAUAGUACAUUUAUAUAAUAAUAAUAAUAUUUUAACAUCACUAUAAAACUACUGACAACGAGCACAAUGUUUGCGACAGCGUACCAUCAUUGACACACAUCAUACAUUUUCAUAAGUUUUUGAACUUUAAAUGCAAUUGCACC
Sipha flava (yellow sugarcane aphid) is the source of this 1195-nucleotide long non-coding RNA. RefSeq lists it as uncharacterized. The record is from RefSeq and is a predicted model, not a curated record. NCBI's taxonomy places the organism in Eukaryota, Metazoa, Arthropoda, Insecta, Hemiptera, Aphididae. The transcript has 4 exons.